UUAUUAUGAACAUCAUACUUGUAAGUGAGGAUCAUUUUUCCUGGGUUGACGUAAACAGACGGAUUUUGCGGGAAAACGAAUCUGACAUCAAACCACGAAACUCGGACCGAAGAUGGACAACUUGUGUAGCUUCAGUUUGAGGGAUCACUCGUUGCUGAACGAAAAUUAGGGAGAAUUCUGUGUGACAUUAUGUUAACAUUACCGGCUAUGGAAAAUGUAUUAAUGGACUAUACCCAUAUUAAAGCUUUCAGUGACUGAGACUGGGCACCGAGGGGAGCACCUAGGGAAGCAAGGGUUUUA
Long non-coding RNA from Magallana angulata, 300 nucleotides. RefSeq lists it as uncharacterized. The transcript is spliced from 3 exons. NCBI's taxonomy places the organism in Eukaryota, Metazoa, Mollusca, Bivalvia, Ostreida, Ostreidae. The record is from RefSeq and is a predicted model, not a curated record.